This 30-nucleotide non-coding RNA is filed under the name Mus musculus (house mouse). Lineage: Eukaryota; Metazoa; Chordata; Mammalia; Rodentia; Muridae. The record is from RNAcentral.
UAGGGCAGUCAUAUAUCCCUUGCUUGGUUC